AGAGUUUGAUCCUGGCUCAGGAUGAACGCUGGCGGCGUGCCUAAUGCAUGCAAGUCGAGCGACGCAUAUCGGAGGGGUAACCCACUGGUAUGACGGAGCGGCGAACGGGUGAGUAACACGUGAGUAACCUGCCCCACAGACCGGGAUAGCCCAGGGAAACCUGGAUUAAUACCGGAUAUUCUCUUCGAACUUCAUGGUUCAUUGAGGAAAUGCCUUUGUGCUGUGGGAUGGACUCGCGGCUUAUCAGCUAGUUGGUGGGGUAACGGCCUACCAAGGCAUCGACGAGUAGCUGGUCUGAGAGGACGAUCAGCCACACUGGGACUGAGACACGGCCCAGACUCCUACGGGAGGCAGCAGCAGGGAAUCUUGCACAAUGGGCGAAAGCCUGAUGCAGCAACGCCGCGUGUGGGAUGAAUGCCUUCGGGUUGUAAACCACUUUCAGGAGGGAAGAAAUUGACGGUACCUCCAAAAGAAGCCCCGGCCAACUACGUGCCAGCAGCCGCGGUAAUACGUAGGGGGCGAGCGUUAUCCGGAAUCAUUGGGCGUAAAGAGCUCGUAGGCGGUUCAGCAAGUCGGCUGUGAAAGUCCAAGGCUUAACCUUGGAAAUGCAGUCGAUACUGCUGUGACUAGAGUCUGGUAGAGGAGAAUGGAAUUCCCGGUGUAGCGGUGGAAUGCGCAGAUAUCGGGAGGAACACCAGUAGCGAAGGCGGUUCUCUGGGCCUCGACUGACGCUGAGGAGCGAAAGCAUGGGUAGCAAACAGGAUUAGAUACCCUGGUAGUCC
Molecule: ribosomal RNA, 782 nt
Filed under: uncultured bacterium
Lineage: Bacteria
Description: bacterial SSU rRNA
Rfam family: Bacterial small subunit ribosomal RNA
Source: RNAcentral